GGAUGUGAGGGUAAUCUGGCUGCAGCAUCUGUCACCCCAUUGGUCUCCAGGGUUGAUUGGGCUGAUCUGAUUGGUGAGGCAGGUGUCCCCAUACUCCCUCACUGCUCCAUGUGUGUCCCUCCUGAAGCUGUAGAAGAGGACGACCUUCCCCAAAUAGAGGAGGACUGGUCAAGGGUAUACGAGUAGCUGUGAUCCUCUGAUAGAGCCUCCAAACAAGCUCUUAAGAUAACCUCUUCUUUAGUUACUGUCAUUACACACACACACACACACACAC
RNAcentral lists this small nuclear RNA (274 nucleotides) under Peromyscus maniculatus bairdii (prairie deer mouse). Its description in RNAcentral is "7SK RNA (ENSPEMG00000002950.2)". It matches the Rfam family "7SK RNA", at positions 1 to 297 of the family's 331-position model. From Rfam's summary of the family: 7SK was discovered as an abundant small nuclear RNA in the mid-70s but a possible function has only recently been suggested. Two independent studies have found that 7SK RNA binds the CDK9/cyclin T complex (known as elongation factor P-TEFb). Lineage: Eukaryota; Metazoa; Chordata; Mammalia; Rodentia; Cricetidae. The record is from RNAcentral.